GUGACGGUGCGCGGAGGCGGUGGUGGAGUUGCUUCCCCUGCUAGGCGGGCUCGAACCGGGCGGGAGUCACUGUCCACCUUGCUUCGCCAGGGUGUUAUCGCCAGCCAGUCCCCUUCCGCAUGCCCAAGGGCAGCCUCAGGAAGCGAGCCCACCACCGUCGGCCCAGCGCCUGUUGAUCGGCCAGGCCUUCUGGGCCGGUCAUACUGGGCCCUUCCUAACCUGAGGAGAUUGCACAGUAGGGCUCCCUGGUCUGGUCAGGGCUCAGUUAGGACCCCUCUCCAGCCUUAGGCUUGGUGAAAGCUUUAGCGAAACAGAAAAAAGAACGCAUCGUGGUGUAGAGUGUAUGGCCUAAGAAGCAUUCGCUCCACUCAAAAAAAAGAAAGUCCUAAUGCAAGUAAUUGAAAGUGAAGAUAUUGCAAAACAAAUAAUGACAGCUGAAUUGAUGAUAUGAUGACAGGCUCAUCCCUCCAUUGUAAACUAUGUUUCUUCAUCUGUAAAUGAAAGCGUAGGAAGACUUUUAAAAAGUCUUUCCUAUUCCUAUACCCACUAAAACGAACUGAAAGAAGCUAAUUAUAGAAGGAAACUGUCUACAGUGAAACUAAGAAAGGCUCUAACCUCAUGCUACUAACUCAUCAACAUCAUCCACAAAGAUGAUCAUCC
This 660-nucleotide long non-coding RNA is filed under the name Homo sapiens (human). Its description in RNAcentral is "HSALNT0191778". The record is from RNAcentral. Lineage: Eukaryota; Metazoa; Chordata; Mammalia; Primates; Hominidae.